Molecule: ribosomal RNA, 376 nt
Filed under: uncultured bacterium
Lineage: Bacteria
Description: bacterial SSU rRNA
Rfam family: Bacterial small subunit ribosomal RNA
Source: RNAcentral
UACGUAGGUGGCGAGCGUUGUCCGGAAUUACUGGGCGUAAAGGGCGCGUAGGCGGCCUGUUAAGUCAGAUGUGAAACCCCCAGGCUCAACUUGGGGCAUGCAUUUGAAACUGAUGGGCUCGAGUGUCGGAGAGGAAAGUGGAAUUCCUAGUGUAGCGGUGAAAUGCGUAGAUAUUAGGAGGAACACCAGUGGCGAAGGCGACUUUCUGGACGAUAACUGACGCUGAGGCGCGAAAGCGUGGGGAGCAAGCAGGAUUAGAUACCCUGGUAGUCCACGCUGUAAACGAUGGAUACUAGGUGUGGGAGGUAUCGACCCCUUCCGUGCCGCAGUAAACGCAAUAAGUAUCCCGCCUGGGGAGUACGGCCGCAAGGUUGAA